CAGGACUUGACAUCCAUAGAACACUUGAGAGAUCAGGUAGUGCCCUUCGGGGAACUAUGAGACAGGUGGUGCAUGGUUGUCGUCAGCUCGUGUCGUGAGAUGUUGGGUUAAGUCCCGCAACGAGCGCAACCCUUGUCAUUAGUUGCUAACAUUUAGUUGAGCACUCUAAUGAGACUGCCGGGGACAACUCGGAGGAAGGUGGGGAUGACGUCAAAUCAUCAUGCCCCUUAUGUCCUGGGCUACACACGUGCUACAAUGGCUAGUACAAUGAGAUGCAAGAUGGCAACAUGGAGCAAAUCUAAAAAACUAGUCCCAGUUCGGAUUGAGGGCUGCAACUCGCCCUCAUGAAGCCGGAGUUGCUAGUAAUCGCGAAUCAGCAUGUCGCGGUGAAUACGUUCCC
Molecule: ribosomal RNA, 400 nt
Filed under: uncultured bacterium
Lineage: Bacteria
Description: bacterial SSU rRNA
Rfam family: Bacterial small subunit ribosomal RNA
Source: RNAcentral